CGGGAAGGAGGGGUUUGAAUCUGCCGCGGUUUCCGUCGGUUGGUCGCAUUAAUGUCGCGCUUGUCUUCAGUUUGAGGUGGAAGAUUCAGAUGGAUUAGUUGGAGAUUGUGAUUAGUUUUGGAUGAGAGGUGAUUACUGAUUUUAUUUUGAAGGAUGGUUUAAAUGUUUUUUACCUAGUAUUGUGGUAUAUGUGCAUUUUUGUAUAAAAAAAGGGUUUGUUUAUAGAGAGG
This 230-nucleotide long non-coding RNA is filed under the name Oryza brachyantha (malo sina). Its description in RNAcentral is "long non-coding RNA (OBRA_LNC000877)". The record is from RNAcentral. Lineage: Eukaryota; Viridiplantae; Streptophyta; Magnoliopsida; Poales; Poaceae.